AUGGAGACCGACUGUCUAGAGGCAGUUAACCUCUGAAACUCUCGCUACAUCGACCGGUCGGUGAUAGCACCUAUCUUCUCUGAAAUUGGAGAGCUAGCUCUUAGUUUUAUUUCUUUCAAUAUUCAACAUGUAAUAAGAUCAGCAAACAGUCCUGCACAUCUGUGUGCUAAGCGUGGUACUACGCUUAAUGUGACUGAGAGCUGGUUAGAUACUACCCCUAGCUUCCUGAUCAGCAACCUUCUGGCUGACUGCUCAGCGAGUGCUUUUGUUGAAAUAAAACUCUCUGAAGUUCCCCGCAAAAAUAAUCUCUUCAGGCCCCCUGACUUCAACCGGGUGUGGGGCCCCUCUCCUUAUUUCCUCUAA
Molecule: ribosomal RNA, 363 nt
Filed under: Triticum aestivum (bread wheat)
Lineage: Eukaryota; Viridiplantae; Streptophyta; Magnoliopsida; Poales; Poaceae
Description: partial small subunit ribosomal RNA
Source: RNAcentral